AUAGCUGGUGAUAAUCACCUGGAGUUAUGACUGUGUCUAAUCUCAUAAACUAAGCAGAGUCAGGAUGGGUCAGUACUUGUAUAUGAGACUCCCAAGGAAAACCCAUGGACAGCAGGA
Molecule: ribosomal RNA, 117 nt
Filed under: Chelonoidis abingdonii (Abingdon island giant tortoise)
Lineage: Eukaryota; Metazoa; Chordata; Testudines; Testudinidae
Source: RNAcentral